UUUGUAUAGAAGUAAGAGAAAGGUUACAGAGCAACCAUGGCUUUCUAUUUCUCAGCGAGAAUUAUGUUAGCAACCCUAAUGAUCGUCAUCUUCACCCAGCAGUUGCACCUGGUUUCAACUCAUGCCGCCGCAGAUGAAAAGAUCAGGAGCAUGCAGAGCACUCUUCGCAUUACUCACAGUCCUGAAAUUGAUCGUUUGUAUUCGAGGGCAGCAUCACGACGCCUAGCGCAAAAUACAAAAGUGGUACCGCGGCCUUCUCCUCCACCGCCGGCUCACAGGCCUCCCACUUACCCAUGACAUGACUGAAAGAAAAUUGAACACCUCACGAGUGAAUAUAAAUGUAACCACAUAUAUAUGUAUUUGCUUUUAGGACUCCAAGAAGAUUGUAUUCUGAAUUUUUGUUGUAUUCUUCUGAAGCUCAUGCAUCAGCUAUAUAUUGAGGCUAUUCACAACCUCCUUUCCGUCAUUUCA
Molecule: long non-coding RNA, 471 nt
Organism: Daucus carota subsp. sativus
Lineage: Eukaryota; Viridiplantae; Streptophyta; Magnoliopsida; Apiales; Apiaceae
Exons: 2
Source: RefSeq, a predicted model, not a curated record